AAGCGGCAACAGCUCAAAUUUGAAAUCUGGCUCCCUCGCGGGGUCCGAGUUGUAAUUUGCAGAGGAUGCUUCGGCGUCGGCCUCGGGCCAAGUCCCCUGGAACGGGGCGCCUAAGAGGGUGAGAGCCCCGUACCCUCCCGGGCCGCCUUCGCCGCGUGAAGCUCCUUCGACGAGUCGAGUUGUUUGGGAAUGCAGCUCUAAGUGGGAGGUAAAUUCCUUCUAAAGCUAAAUACUGGCCAGAGACCGAUAGCGCACAAGUAGAGUGAUCGAAAGAUGAAAAGCACUUUGGAAAGAGAGUCAAACAGCACGUGAAAUUGUUGAAAGGGAAGCUCUUGCUGCCAGACCUGCCGCGGUCGCGCAGCCGUCCCCCGGGGCGGUGUACCCGUCCGCCGGCAGGCCAGCGCCGGUUCGGGCGGCCGGAUAAAGGCCCCGGGAAAGUAGCUCCCCUAGGGGAGUGUUAUAGCCCGGGGUGCAAUGCGGUCAGCCCGGUCCGAGGCACGCGCUCACGCGAGGGCGCUGGCGUAAUGGCCGCAAGCGACCCGUCUUGAAACACGGACCAAGGAGUCUAACAUCUGUGCGAGUGUUCGGACGUGAAAUCCGCGCGCGUAAUGAAAGUGAACGGAGGUGGGAACCCCCUAGAGGGGCGCACCAUCGACCGAUCCUGAUGUCCUCGGAUGGAUUUGAGUAAGAGCACAGCUGUCAGGACCCGAAAGAUGGUGAACUAUACCUGGAUAGGGUGAAGCCAGAGGAAACUCUGGUGGAGGCUCGCAGCGGUUCUGACGUGCAAAUCGAUCGUCAAAUCUUGGUAUAGGGGCGAAAGACUAAUCGAACC
Molecule: ribosomal RNA, 832 nt
Filed under: Enterographa cf. tropica Ertz 17350 (BR)
Lineage: Eukaryota; Fungi; Ascomycota; Arthoniomycetes; Arthoniales; Roccellaceae
Description: LSU rRNA
Rfam family: Eukaryotic large subunit ribosomal RNA
Source: RNAcentral